This 451-nucleotide ribosomal RNA is filed under the name uncultured bacterium. RNAcentral's name for it is "partial 16S ribosomal RNA". It matches the Rfam family "Bacterial small subunit ribosomal RNA", at positions 28 to 507 of the family's 1533-position model. The record is from RNAcentral.
AGCGAACGCUGGCGGCAUGCCUAACACAUGCAAGUCGCACGGGGGGGCUUCGGCCUCCCAGUGGCGGACGGGUGAGGAACGCGUAGGGACCUGUCGAGGGGUGGGGGAUAACCGCGGGAAACUGCGGCUAAUACCGCAUGACGCCGCGGCGUGACAGCCGGGGCCAAAGGCGAAAGCCGCCCGCCGAGGGGCCUGCGUCCGAUUAGCUGGUUGGCGGGGUAGCGGCCCACCAAGGCGUCGAGCGGUAGCUGGUCUGAGAGGGUGAUCAGCCACACCGGGACUGAGACACGGCCCGGACUCCUACGGGAGGCAGCAGUGGGGAAUAUUGGACAAUGGGCGCAAGCCUGAUCCAGCAAUGCCGCGUGGGUGAAGAAGGUCUUCGGAUUGUAAAGCCCUUUCGGCGGGGACGAUGGUGACGGUACCCGCAGAAGAAGCCCCGGCUAACUUCGUG